Bos indicus x Bos taurus (hybrid cattle) is the source of this 1751-nucleotide long non-coding RNA. The record is from Ensembl. Lineage: Eukaryota; Metazoa; Chordata; Mammalia; Artiodactyla; Bovidae.
UCUUCCUGACGCUGCCACUGCUCUGCAUGUCUGGGAGGGUGUUUUGUGGAUAAUGACUCGUCUUAUCUGCCUGGGACAGAGGCUCAGGGAGCCGGCCUGUAACUGAGUAACUGAUUCCUCCCUGCCGCUCAGCCGUGCCUGAAGGCAGAUACAAAGUCAGCCUAGACAACUCCUGUCUGGGCAAGUCUUCUCUCCUUUGAUCCUUGGCACAAGCCUGUGAGGUGGGAAUCCAAUGCCGUCACCCAUUUUACAGGUGGGGAGACUGAGGCUCCAGCGAGGACGAGAGACUUAUACUCAGACUGAGGUUCAUGGGUGGCAGGUUUGAAUCUGGGAUGUUCUCCUUUUUUAUUGCCCCAUAAAGUUUCCUGGCAAACACGUGAUGCAAGGCCAUGACACAAAAGCCUAUUCAUUUCUAAAAAUAAGACUGACUUGUCCCCUCGUCCUGAUAAAGAAAUCUCUCACACUUUACAGCCAGGCUGGGGCCGACCCAGCCUCCCCACUUGCACAAGGAGAACACAGGUCCCAUCAGGCCCACCCAGGAGCCUGCCCAGGAGCCCUUGGAGCGUGGCCUGCCUCGUUCACUGGAUCCAGUCUUCUGGGACCCAGAAGGGAAGUUGGCAAGCAUUCCGAGAACCUAGGAUGCGCCACGUCAUUGUCCCAGCCCUGGGGACACAGGAGUGUCAGUCCCCACCUGCCAGGAGUGAACAUUCUGGUAAGGGGCCAUGUGGAAACAGGAAGAGUGUCCAAGUAGAAAGAGCUGGAUCCAGAGACGGGGCCUCUGGGAGUUUGCUCCGGGGUGGUUCUCUUAGCCAUCCUGCGAGUUGGGGUUGACUGAUGAGGACGCAGCUGAUGGAAAGUGCUGGACUUUUCAAGCAUGUGCAAGGACCUUGAAAGGCGGACACUCUGGGUAGGUGUGACCAAGUGGCCUCAGAGAUGGCUGGAGAAGAAGGAGCUGGGCAAGGUCCCUGGGUGUAAACGCACCUCUCAGCUGCCCUGCUCUGGGAUCUAAGGCCAGCUUCCUGCUUCCCAAAGGCCACUGUCCUCAAGUGCAAGGCUCCUCCUCCGCCACCAGGUCCCACCCAGCCCUCCCUUGUCCCUCCCUCCCUGGGUCAGGCCUGUGUCUCCGCCUCCUUUGGCUCCCUCCCUGCUCCCCACCCACCCCAGGGGUUUCCCCAUCAAUCGGAACAAUAUAUCAGCUGCGGUGAGAGGGGUGGUUUUACCCUGGUGGCUGCUGGUUUCCUGGGGAGCAGUGGUGAGGUCUUUAUGCUCUAUGAGUUCCCUCUGGGAGGAAGGAUGGUAGGAUGGAAGGCUGGGGGGUGGUGGUCAGUUAGAGGCUAUUGCGGUUGUGGGCAGGAGAGCUGCUGCUGCUGCUGGUGGGUCACUGAUUCUGCUGGAGAGAUGCUGAGAUGGGUGGCAGCGCUGGCAGGACCCAGUUAUGGACCAGAGGUGAGGAGGAGGCCUGGCUAAAGGCUGUCUGGCCGACCUGCCUCUCCACACCCGGAAUCAUCUUUUUAGAACCAUCUCUGGUUCUGCCGUGUCAUCCUGGGACACGUGUCAACCAGUCAGGUCCCUCUCUGAGCUUCAGUCUCUUCCGCCAAAUGAAAGAAUCAUCCCCUGACUUGUUCAGUCACUAAGUUGUGUCCGACUCUUUGUGACCCCAUGGACUGCAGCACACCAGGCUCCUCUGUCCUUCACUAUCUCCAGGAACUUGCUCAGAUUCACGUCCAUUGAGUCGGUGAUGCCUUCUGACC